RNAcentral lists this unclassified non-coding RNA (245 nucleotides) under fungal sp. RNAcentral describes it as "partial internal transcribed spacer region". The stretch from base 1 to 46 matches the Rfam family "Eukaryotic small subunit ribosomal RNA", at positions 1786 to 1831 of the family's 1831-position model. The record is from RNAcentral. Lineage: Eukaryota; Fungi.
AAGUCGUAACAAGGUUUCCGUAGGUGAACCUGCGGAAGGAUCAUUACAGUACACUGUAAUAGUGUUGGGAACCUGAAAAGGUGCCCAAUACUUCUAAACCUUGCAAAUAAUUAAUCGUUACCUCGGCGGGCUUGCCCGCUGGCGGAUAUACACUAAACUCUUGUAAACAUGCUGUAACUAGUGGAAAAUUGUCUGAAAAUAUAUUAAAUAUUUUAAAACUUUCAACAACGGAUCUCUUGGUUCUG